CCUAUCUCCAUUAGAUCUCAACUGGAGUACUGUGUUUAAUUUUGAGUACCAUGGUUUAAAGAAGGCCAUUGACAAUCUGGAGCAUCUAUAGAUAGGCAACUAGGAUAUUGAAAGACUUUGAGUCCAUUUCAUAUGAAGACUGGCUGAAUUAAUUUGGACAUUUUUAAUUUGGAGCAGAGAAGAUUCAUGGUGGAUGGGAUUCAUAGUUAUCUUCAGAUGGAUUGCUGGUCAGGGUAAAGAGUGUGGAAGAGGCAUGGAGGAAGAGAGAAUUUCAAGCAUGCAAGAAACAAAGCUGGGGACCUGAUCUGUCAAUCAAGGUGAAGAUUCCAAAACAGAAUAUUCCCAGGAAAGGCAGUUGGAGCUGGCCAGAGGAGAUGAACUGAGAUUUCCUCUCUGGGGGGUUACUGACCAAAGGAACAAAACCUCUUCUCUGGGGUUCCUGAAUAAGGGAGAGACUGGCUUUUUCUGAUCUAGGCAGAGAGAGACCUUUUGGAGGGCUUCUGGAAUGAACCUGAGAAGAAAUUUACUUUUGUUGGUGGCUUCGUGUAAUUGGAAGAAGAAAGAAGUUUUAACAGUUGUCUUCCAUCUCUCUGGCUGUCUCUGAGUCACAGUUGUGACUGGACCGACAUUUCCCAAACCCUCCUAAUUCUCUUUGUAGAUUAGGGGCAACCUCAUCCUUCUUACCUCAGUUCUCCAUCCUGUUGUUUCCAAUAAACCUUCUUACUUGAGAAAAGGAGAGUAAAGA
Molecule: long non-coding RNA, 745 nt
Filed under: Monodelphis domestica (gray short-tailed opossum)
Lineage: Eukaryota; Metazoa; Chordata; Mammalia; Didelphimorphia; Didelphidae
Description: lncRNA (ENSMODG00000043838.1)
Source: RNAcentral